Molecule: ribosomal RNA, 458 nt
Filed under: uncultured bacterium
Lineage: Bacteria
Description: bacterial SSU rRNA
Rfam family: Bacterial small subunit ribosomal RNA
Source: RNAcentral
AGUCACGAGUUUGAUCAUGGCUCAGAACGAACGCUGGCGGCAUGCCUAACACAUGCAAGUCGAACGAGACCUUCGGGUCUAGUGGCGCACGGGUGCGUAACACGUGGGAAUUUGCCUCGGGGUAUGGAAUAACUCAGGGAAACUUGAGCUAAUACCAUAUAAUGUCUUCGGACCAAAGAUUUAUCGCCCUGAGAUAAGCCCGCGUAGGAUUAGCUAGUUGGUGGGGUAAAGGCUCACCAAGGCGACGAUCCUUAGCUGGUCUGAGAGGAUGAUCAGCCACACUGGGACUGAGACACGGCCCAGACUCCUACGGGAGGCAGCAGUGAGGAAUAUUGGACAAUGGGCGAAAGCCUGAUCCAGCAAUGCCGCGUGAGUGAUGAAGGCCUUCGGGUUGUAAAGCUCUUUUACUCGGGACGAUAAUGACGGUACCGAGAGAAUAAGCCCCGGCUAACUCCGUG